RNAcentral lists this ribosomal RNA (484 nucleotides) under uncultured bacterium. Its description in RNAcentral is "partial 16S ribosomal RNA". It matches the Rfam family "Bacterial small subunit ribosomal RNA", at positions 28 to 507 of the family's 1533-position model. The record is from RNAcentral.
AUUGAACGCUGGCGGCAUGCUUUACACAUGCAAGUCGAACGGCAGCGCGGGCUUCGGCCUGGCGGCGAGUGGCGAACGGGUGAGUAAUGCAUCGGAACGUGCCCAGUAGUGGGGGAUAGCCCGGCGAAAGCCGGAUUAAUACCGCAUACGACCUGAGGGUGAGAGCGGGGGGCCGAAAGGCCUCGCGCUAUUGGAGCGGCCGAUGUCGGAUUAGCUAGUUGGUGGGGUAAAGGCUUACCAAGGCGACGAUCCGUAGCUGGUCUGAGAGGACGACCAGCCACACUGGGACUGAGACACGGCCCAGACUCCUACGGGAGGCAGCAGUGGGGAAUUUUGGACAAUGGGGGCAACCCUGAUCCAGCCAUGCCGCGUGCGGGAAGAAGGCCUUCGGGUUGUAAACCGCUUUUGUUCGGGAAGAAAUCCUCUGGGCUAAUACCCCGGGGGGAUGACGGUACCGGAAGAAUAAGCACCGGCUAACUACGUG